GGAUGUGAGGGCGAUCUGGCUGUAACAUUUGUCACCUCAUUGAUCUCCAGGGUUGAUUCCACUGAUCUGGGUGGCUAGGCGAGUGUCCCCUUCCUCCCUCACCACUGCGUGCGUGUCCCUCCUGAAGCUGCGCGCUCGGUGGAACAGCACGACUUUCCUUGAUGGAGGAGAGGGCCGUUCUUCGGUCAGAGGAAUAUGAGUAGCUGCACUCCCCUGCUAGAACCUCCACACAAGCUCACAAGAAACUCUGCCUUUGGAGAAUCAGCUAAGACGUCAAAUAGGUUCCAUUCGAGCUCGGUCUUG
Pteropus vampyrus (large flying fox) is the source of this 303-nucleotide unclassified non-coding RNA. Its record names the gene 7SK. It matches the Rfam family "7SK RNA". From Rfam's summary of the family: 7SK was discovered as an abundant small nuclear RNA in the mid-70s but a possible function has only recently been suggested. Two independent studies have found that 7SK RNA binds the CDK9/cyclin T complex (known as elongation factor P-TEFb). NCBI's taxonomy places the organism in Eukaryota, Metazoa, Chordata, Mammalia, Chiroptera, Pteropodidae. The record is from Ensembl.